GAUGAACGCUGGCGGCGUGCCUAAUACAUGCCAGUCGAGCGAACGGACGAGAAGCUAGCUUUUCUGAUGUUAGCGGCGGACGGGUGAGUAACACGUGGAUAACCUACCUAUAAGACUGGGAUAACUUCGGGAAACCGGAGCUAAUACCGGAUAAUAUUUUGAACCGCAUGGUUCAAAAGUGAAAGACGGUCUUGCUGUCACUUAUAGAUGGAUCCGCGCUGCAUUAGCUAGUUGGUAAGGUAACGGCUUACCAAGGCAACGAUGCAUAGCCGACCUGAGAGGGUGAUCGGCCACACUGGAACUGAGACACGGUCCAGACUCCUACGGGAGGCAGCAGUAGGGAAUCUUCCGCAAUGGGCGAAAGCCUGACGGAGCAACGCCGCGUGAGUGAUGAAGGUCUUCGGAUCGUAAAACUCUGUUAUUAGGGAAGAACAUAUGUGUAAGUAACUGUGCACAUCUUGACGGUACCUAAUCAGAAAGCCACGGCUAACUACGUG
Molecule: ribosomal RNA, 497 nt
Filed under: uncultured bacterium
Lineage: Bacteria
Description: partial 16S ribosomal RNA
Rfam family: Bacterial small subunit ribosomal RNA
Source: RNAcentral